ACCCCGCCCCUCCCUUGCUUAGUCGCUCGGCUGGCCCGGCUCACCUUCGGGGUGAAGGCUACCAGCGAGCGUUAUAGCAGACGACUUUAAUAAAUGCAGGCGGCAGCAGGAACUCUGGGAACUUGGGUGCCCUUGCCUGGCAGUAAGGGUUGAAUUAUCCGGAUCUGAAAUACUUUACAGAGCCGAGGGGUGAUAGGCUCUGCAAAAGCACUUUUUGCCCCUCUCCUUUAUGCCAAUACUCGCUGACUGUGCACACAAGUCAUAUUCAGUAUUAAAUACAAACCGGUCUGUAAUUCAAUGGCUCUAGCAAGACGCCUCUGAGAGGGCCAGGUGGCGGGUGCAAGUUGCUCAUUAACCCUUUAGAGUCGCAGUUUGCAGAUCUGAGUUAGAUCCCCGGCUUUGAGGUCCUUCAGUUGCCCUCCUCCCCCACCUCCCCCCGCCACUGCGAGAAAAAUGUGCAAAGAGAAGGAAAUUUGCACAUCAAACGAGGGGCAAUCGCGGCGGUAGAUGAACUUGAUUAGGCAGACGCGUGAGAUCAAAGUGGCCGGGACCAAAGCGGACAGGGUCCAACGUGCCAGCACUGCCAAGAGAAGGCCUUUUGUACUCAGGUUAAAUAAGAACAUCCUGCAAGGAGUCUGUUCUUUUAUGCAGCCUAAAGAUCAAGUAAUAAUCAUUGACACUGAUACUGAGCAUGUCGAUUUUGAAGAGACUAGCAUUUCCUGGUAAUGAAGUGGAGUAUAUAUCCAUAUAUUUCUGUUUUCUGGAUGAGAAGACUAACCUAACUAAGUAGGAACCUUGAAGAAUCAUGUUCUUCCUAGGAAUUACAAAUCCCCCGAUUCCAUGUCUAACAUAAUUUCUACUGGCCUCUUUGCUUCUCAUGCUUUAGUACCAGUGCUUCUGAAUUUGAAAGUCUUCAUGCAAAUUGCCCAGGUCUGUUGAAAACUUGCCUCGUAAAUGAUUUGCAUAUACAAGAACUCGGAAAAAGCAUCCUGUUUUGUUGAGAGGUGCACCAAGUGACUUUUUCAUCAUUGGUUUCAUAACGAGUUUGCUGGCAGCUGUGUCUCAGAAAAAGCUGUCUUCAGCAAGGCAGAAGCAGACCAGGGUGGUCCAGAGUUGGUGACUAUUAUGGCAUGGCUACCCAGGGCCAGAGAGGUGAGGUUUAAUGAGAAAGAAGAUAGAUGAAAAUGACUCCUCCUCCUGCUUUCACUGCUGCAGCAACUCAGGCCUGCAGACAAGAUCCAGCUCUAUUGCCCAAGCUGGAGUGCAGUGGUGAGAUAAUGAUUCACUGCAGCCUUGAUCUCCUGGGCUCAAGCAGUUCUCCUGCCUCAGCCUCCUGAGUAGCUGGGACCACAGGCACCCUCCACCAUGUCUGGCCAAAAUUUUUUGAAUUUUUUGUAGAGACCAGGUUUCACCAUGUUGCCCAGGCUGAUUUCAAAUUCCUGGGCUCAAGUGAUCUUCCUGCCUCAGCCUCUCAAAGUGCUGAGAUUACAAGUGUGAGCCACCACACCCAGCCAAAAUAUAAAUACGCCUUUAAUAGUAACACCUAAUUACCUAACACCAUCAAAAAUGGGGUGCUCCAUGAAGAAGCACAUAAUUCAAAUUAUUGAAGUUUAUCCCUUCUAAUGACCACAUAGAUUUCUCUUGCCCCAUUAAAAAAUUAGAUAAUCAGUAUUUCUAGGAUAGUUGUUUUCUUCCAACCAAUUAAGGCAUAAUCUAUGUAGCAGAACAUUCAGAGGAUGAUGCCUGGUCAACAUUUGAAUAAACAAUCACUGUGAUGUUACCUCUAUUUAAGAUGACUCCAAUAAAACUUCUAUGGUUUGCAUUAUUAGUUGAUCAGACUUUAAGCAUUAUCUUUUGAUAGGGUCAAGGAACCUGUCUUAACUCCCCAUCUCUGACCAAAAUAUACUUGUUUUCUAUAAGCUAUAAAGCCAGAUAGCCAAUUUUAUGAGAAUUGUCCCUAUACUAUAUCCAUGUGAGCGAUGAGUGCCUGGCAUGAAGAUGCAUAAAGGAGGCAGUAAUAUACAACAACUGAAGCAUAACCUCUGGAGCCAGUCUUCUUCAGACAAAUCCCAAUUCCAUUACUCACUGGCCACCUAAACAAGCUACUUAAUUCAUCUGCCUCAGUUUUCUUCAACUGUUUAAUGGGUAUGAUCAACAAACCAACUUCAGUGGGUUAUCAUAAAUAUUAAUAAAUGAGAGAAUGCAUGUGAAACAAAGCUAUAAGCAAUCAUUAGUAAUAAUAAUAAAAGAUGAUCAUUAUUUUUCAUGGAGUUUUUGCUAGUGCCAUGUACUGUUUUGUUAAUACUAAUUGCCUGAUUUUCUGUCCAUGAAUUUUUGGCUGAUCUAAGUUUCCACUUCCCUCACCCCUUGGCUGGGAUCUAGGUAUGAGAGUUGCUUGGCAAGCAAACUAGAGAUAAGUAAGGUGUUACUAUAUAAAGUUAAUGUAGGCACAUAUGAAUAUCCAAACAUGCCAUAAUGUUGGGGUUUGACCCUUUCCCUAAUACUCAGUUUCUUCAUUUGAAAUGUUCUAAUUGGUGUUUUUAUGUUGG
This 2549-nucleotide long non-coding RNA is filed under the name Homo sapiens (human). RNAcentral describes it as "non-protein coding PRKG1-AS1:12". The record is from RNAcentral. Lineage: Eukaryota; Metazoa; Chordata; Mammalia; Primates; Hominidae.